Molecule: long non-coding RNA, 287 nt
Filed under: Elaeis guineensis (African oil palm)
Lineage: Eukaryota; Viridiplantae; Streptophyta; Magnoliopsida; Arecales; Arecaceae
Description: long non-coding RNA (EGUI_LNC077217)
Source: RNAcentral
UCUGGAUCAGUCACCAUCUUCAUAAUGAUCUAUCGAUCGAAAGUAUUUAGGAAUUAACUACUAAUGACAUGUGCCUCAAAUUUUUAACUCUUAAGAAUAUGUGUCAUCAUCUAUUAAUUCCUCAAAUGAUUCAUAGACACAAGUCAAACACAAUAUGAAUGAAAAAAUAAUCUAAUUUUUAUUUAUUUCAAAAUUUAAUUAUAAAAUUAUGUCCCUAAAAUGUGUAUAUAUGUCAGCUAAUCUGGCUUUCAGGACAUAUAUCUAACAGACUACACCAUAACUCGAUC